This 29-nucleotide unclassified non-coding RNA is filed under the name Mus musculus (house mouse). Its description in RNAcentral is "oocyte_clustered_small_RNA3499". The record is from RNAcentral. Lineage: Eukaryota; Metazoa; Chordata; Mammalia; Rodentia; Muridae.
UUAGCAUUGGUUCCAUAUUGAUGGACCGA